GCGCUCACCCUGAAGCCCAUAUACUAAAAAAUUCGAAUGAUACAGAUUAUCAUGGGCCCUGCGCAAGGAUGACACACAAGUUUGUGAAGCCUUCCAUAUUUUU
Molecule: small nuclear RNA, 103 nt
Organism: Equus asinus (donkey)
Lineage: Eukaryota; Metazoa; Chordata; Mammalia; Perissodactyla; Equidae
Source: Ensembl